This 301-nucleotide ribosomal RNA is filed under the name uncultured bacterium. RNAcentral's name for it is "partial 16S ribosomal RNA". It matches the Rfam family "Bacterial small subunit ribosomal RNA", at positions 509 to 807 of the family's 1533-position model. The record is from RNAcentral.
CAGUAGCCGCGGUAAUACGAAGGGUGCAAGCGUUAAUCGGAAUUACUGGGCGUAAAGCGUGCGUAGGCGGUGAGUUAAGUCUGCUGUGAAAUCCCCGGGCUCAACCUGGGAAUGGCAGUGGAUACUGGCUCGCUAGAGUGUGUCAGAGGAUGGUGGGAUUCCCGGUGUAGCGGUGAAAUGCGUAGAGAUCGGGAGGAACACCGAUGGCGAAGGCAGCCCCCUGGGCCAAUACUGACGCUCAUGCGCGAAAGCGUGGGGAGCAAACAGGAUUAGAUACCCGCGUAGUCCCUGUCUCUUAUAC